GCCUGGGUGGCUCAAUCAGUUGAGCAUCUGAUUUUGGCUCAGGUCAUGAUCUCACGGUUUGUGAGUUCGAGUCCUGCAUCGGGCU
Molecule: transfer RNA, 85 nt
Filed under: Felis catus (domestic cat)
Lineage: Eukaryota; Metazoa; Chordata; Mammalia; Carnivora; Felidae
Rfam family: tRNA
About the family: Transfer RNA (tRNA) molecules are approximately 80 nucleotides in length. Their secondary structure includes four short double-helical elements and three loops (D, anti-codon, and T loops). Further hydrogen bonds mediate the characteristic L-shaped molecular structure. tRNAs have two regions of fundamental functional importance: the anti-codon, which is responsible for specific mRNA codon recognition, and the 3' end, to which the tRNAs corresponding amino acid is attached (by aminoacyl-tRNA synthetases). tRNAs cope with the degeneracy of the genetic code in two manners: having more than one tRNA (with a specific anti-codon) for a particular amino acid; and 'wobble' base-pairing, i.e. permitting non-standard base-pairing at the 3rd anti-codon position.
Source: Rfam by way of RNAcentral